RNAcentral lists this ribosomal RNA (666 nucleotides) under Triticum aestivum (bread wheat). Its description in RNAcentral is "partial small subunit ribosomal RNA". Lineage: Eukaryota; Viridiplantae; Streptophyta; Magnoliopsida; Poales; Poaceae. The record is from RNAcentral.
AUGUCGUCGCCGGCGCCGCCUCUGCUCCCCAUCGCGCCGCUGCACGGAGAGAGCGGCUACCUCCGCUGGAGGGAGUCGGUUUUGCUCCGCCUCCACACGCUCGACGUGGCGCACGUGCUGACCGAGGAGCGCCCCGCAGACGAGAGGUCGGCCGCCGGCAAGCAGUGGGCGCGUGCGGACGCGAUGUGCCGCGGCCACAUCCUGGCCACGCUCUCGGACCGCCUCCUCCAGGUCUACGCGCCCCACGCCACCGCGGCGGCCGUGUGGCGCGCCGUGGCGCGCACCUACGACCUGGACAUAGCGGUGGAUGAUCCGACAUACAGCGUGCCCUAUGAGAAGGCCGUCAAGUUCCGGUACGCGGAGGGCGAGCCCGUGACGGAGCAGCUCGCGCUCCUCGAGGGCUUGGCCACCAACGCAGAACUAAAUGACACUUGCCUGUGUCUCAUCGUGAAGGAUCAGUUCCCGACGUUGAGAAUGGCGGUCAUCAAGCGCAAAUACCGUGUGGGCGUGGACAAGCUCUGGGAGAUCGCCCGGCGGAAGGAACUGGCUGCCAGGGUAGAGUAUGUUCGCAAUGGCAGGUACGCUCCGCCGACGACAUACGCGCAAGACAGCUCCUCCUCCUCAGAUGAUGAUGAGCGGUGCCCGAUACGGCGACGGAGGACGUGA